Molecule: ribosomal RNA, 501 nt
Filed under: uncultured bacterium
Lineage: Bacteria
Description: partial 16S ribosomal RNA
Rfam family: Bacterial small subunit ribosomal RNA
Source: RNAcentral
AUUAACGCUGGCGGCGUGCCUAACACAUGCAAGUCGAGCGGCAGCGAGUUUUACACUGAAUUCUGGAAGCUUCUAGUUGAAAGAGAAGAUUUAUUCAAGAAUUUUGUGUAAAAUGUCGGCGAGCGGCGGACGGCUGAGUAACGCGUGGGAACGUACCCCAAAGUGAGGGAUAACGCAUCGAAAGGUGUGCUAAUACCGCAUAUGGUCUUCGGAUUAAAGCCUUCGGGCGCUUUGGGAACGGCCUGCGUAAGAUUAGAUAGUUGGUGGGGUAAUGGCCUACCAAGUCGACGAUCUUUAACUGGUUUGAGAGGAUGAUCAGUCAGACUGGAACUGAGACACGGUCCAGACUCCUACGGGAGGCAGCAGUGAGGAAUCUUCCACAAUGGGCGAAAGCCUGAUGGAGCAACGCCGCGUGCAGGAUGAAGGCCUUCGGGUUGUAAACUGCUUUUAUAAGUGAGGAUUAUGACAGUAACUUAUGAAUAAGGAUCGGCUAACUACGUG